Long non-coding RNA from Oncorhynchus kisutch (coho salmon), 1872 nucleotides. RefSeq lists it as uncharacterized. The transcript has 2 exons. The record is from RefSeq and is a predicted model, not a curated record. Lineage: Eukaryota; Metazoa; Chordata; Actinopteri; Salmoniformes; Salmonidae.
UGAGGGGAAAAAAUAUUUAAAUCCAUUUUAGAAUAGGGCUGUAAUGUAACAAAACAUGGAAAAGGUCUAGGUGUCUGAAUACUCUCCGAAGGCGCUGUAGAUUAGUAGAAGGUGCAUUUCUUAGGUCUAGGUGUCUGAAUACUCUCCGAAGGCGCUAUAGAUUAGUAGAAGGUGCAUUUCUUAGGUCUUGGUGUCUGAAUACUCUCCGAAGGCGCUGUAGAUUAGUAGAAGGUGCAUUUCUUAGGUCUAGGUGUCUGAAUACUCUCCGAAGGCGCUAUAGAUUAGUAGAAGGUGCAUUUCUUAGGUCUUGGUGUCUGAAUACUCUCAGAAGGCGCUGUAGAUUAGUAGAAUGUGCAUUUCUUAAUUCUAACCUUGAAACCUCUUGAAUUGAAUCAUUGAGUUCAUUUGAGUACUAGUCUUCCAAGUUAAAGGAGUAUACAAAUGUGAUGACGUUGUUCGGGAUAACAGUGAUAAGAUGUUGACAUGAAAAACAUUCACAAGCACGUGAAUGUUCACAUCAGUAUUAUUCCACCAAGGUCAGAGAACUAAAAUAAUGUUCAUUAAUGCAACAUAUUAUCUGAAAAAUGAAAUGAUUUUUUUUGUGACAGUGUUAGCCAUUAUUUGUUUUAACUGUGUUCAUUAUAUACAUCUAUGUACUGUUACUGGACUCCAUAAAAACACCAUGCAGCUACGACUGGAAGUCACUUUUUCAUAGCAGGGGCCUCAUUUAUAUAUAUUUUUUAAUCUUAAGAUUUAUACAUGAACUUAGUCGUAAGAUCAUUUCCCGAUUCGAUUCAUAACAGAUACUGAGCAUAAGAACGUUGCUUAUGCAGGUUCUAAGAAGCCCAUUGGUAACUUAACGCACCUGUGAUCUAUAAAUCUCAAAUUAAUUUAGAAUUGGUGGCACCUGAACGUGCCUUACAAAUCAGCGAUUUCCCCGUAUAGAAUGCGGGUUUAGUAUUGGUAACUUAACGCACCUGUGAUCUAUAAAUCUCAAAUUAAUUUAGAAUUGGUGGCACCUGAACGUGCCUUACAAAUCAGCGAUUUCCCCUUAUAAAAUGCUAGUACAAAUGAUGGUUUAGUCAGGAAUAGCCCAAAAAGGACCAAAAGAGAAAAGCAAACUUUUUUUGUAAGACGAGAUCACAGCGAUGGUAGAAGAUAUUGAAGACAGGAAACACGUAUUAUUAGGUGGACUCAGGGGCGCCGCCAGGGAUUUUGGGCACCAUGAAAAGAUAUCACAUUGGACCCCCACCACCACAGGCCACGCCAACCCUGCGCAAUAGCUGUAACCACACACCUUCAGAACCCAAUCGACCCAAAGCUUUAAAUAUCUCUACCUGAUGGUGGCGCUAGAAGAGGUCAAGUGGUCACCAAAUCAAUAGGUUUUUUCCACUUGGGGACUUGAUUGUGCACGGAAACGGUGAAGUCUGUGCAUGAAACCCCCCACGAGUGGAUCACACUGCGUUGCAGCUAGUGCGCCCUCCACCCAGGGAUAAAGUGCGUGAGGCUCUCAAAUCAGCAGGUGCAAGGAGUGAGGGGGGAAGGUUUGGCCACAGGUGUCGAGGGUCCGUCCACGUCUGCAUCGCUGCGCAGGGAUGAAGUUCGUAAGACCCCGGUUCCCAAGCGUUGCAGACCCACAGGUGCCAGGAGUGAGGGGGAAUGUUUGGCCACAGGUGUCGAGGGUCCGUCCACAGUUCGCGUGUUGACCGCCUCGGUCCUGCAAACCCAGAACGAGUUGAACACAUUGGUAUGGGCAGAUUGUGGACUGAACUUGGAUGAAUACGCAGGGGUUUUGAUUCAAUUUUGAUUCAAUUUACAUAAUGCAAUUGUUGAACGUUUUCCACAACGUGAAUAAAAACAACUAUGCGUUUA